GACAGGUGCGUAUACAUGUUUCACUUCUUUGUAAAGUCAUUAUGAAGAAAUUUAUACAACAGCAUGGGCAUAUUUUAUUUGGUUUGAUUUUCAGCUGAUUUUUGUUUGAAGUCGGUUGGAACAAACAUCAGUGUAUUUCUGUUUAUUACCAUGCUUCUCAUUGUGUUUAAUUGCAUCUUGAUAGGAUGAGGGUGUGGUUUCCAAAGAAAAGCAAUAAAUCGAUGGAUGAACAGCUGUGAAUGCUUUUAAUAAUAAUGGUUUGAUUUUGUAGAAGUUUGUAUGCUUUUAUGAACGAAUAAUAGUUCAAAUUUUGAAACUUAACUGGCAUUUUCACACUAAGAUCAAAUACACAUUAGUGCAGAAUAUUCAAAUUAAAGAGGCUUUUGACUCGGAAAACUCUGGGGCUAUAAAUACAAUUUAUUAAUAUGUAAAAUAAUGUUUUAAAUAAUACUAUUUUGUACUUAUUACCUUCAAAACCAGAAGUGUGAUCCCAGAACCUUUGUUCAUUACUUUUUUCAAAGCUAUUUAUUUUGAAUUAUCUCAUGAUAUGUUCACAAAAGGUGGUAAUUCUGUAAAGUAUGAUUUAAUGAAACUGCAUCUUGUUUGUAAUUAUGCCUAGAGUACUAGAAGUAAUGGAUUUUUCUUUUUACUGUUGUAUUUUAAUUUUCAUUUAAAUUGUAACUCCUGAAAUUUUUUUUUUUUUUGAAGAGCUGGAAUGAGGCUUUAAGCUCCAUCAAGCUGCUUGGAUUUAAUCAUACUUUAAGAAAUUUAGAUAUUAGCUUGUGGGAUUUUUGUUUUGGAGGUGAUGAGUCAAGGAUUGCUUUGUUUAAUUAGCUAUUUUAAGAGUAAUGAAGGAUUUUUUUUAUUUAAGACUCAUUCAAAGCUUGAGAACACCCUAGCGCCUAAAUAAAAUCCACAGCAUUCAAAAUGUACCCCCUUUUAUAUAAUGCUAAUUCAAAGGAAGGAUUUAGUUUUAAAUUUGCGAACAUGUAGGAUAACUUACAGUAAAUAUAUAAUUCUUAACAUUUAUAUACAAUUACCUAUAUUUCUGAAAUAGUACUUCUCAUUCAUUUUCCAUUUGUAAGAACUGGAAAGCAAAGGUGUAGAAUGGUAUUGCUUAUAGCAUCGUACUUCUUUUUUAAAGUUAGACUUACUUUAGAGAAGAAUAAAUAAGAGAAAGUGUUCUGAUAGUAGUGCUUUUCAUUUGUCCUUCAUACUAAUUUUUUUUAUGCAAGCAGAAGAGUAGUAUUUGAUUUUUUUUAAUGCGAUAACUUUUUAAAAUUUUAUUGUACACUUCCAUAGAGUCUGGGAUCACCCCCCAAAAAUUCCCACCCCCUGGCUGAUUUUCCCCAUAUUAAAUGCUAUAACUUUCUGACGUGUGUUUAUAGGCUAUGGCCUCAAAUGUUUAUAUGUAACACUAAAUGUGUUCUAAUCGGUAUCAACUUUAGUUUUUAUCAAGAACUGCAGCAAGGGGAAAAAUUUCAUACUAACUUAUAUUCCAGGUUUCAUUUUUUGUCAUGAUUCUUGUGCUACAUUUUUGUUUUGUAAAGAUUUAAAGAUAUUUUCAUUUCAUGUUUAUUGGUAUGUUGUAUCUAUUCAAAAUGUCAUAAAAUAUAUCAUUCAGAAAUACUGGAAAAUUUGUUCCCCCCCACACACAAAAAAAUUCCAAAAACUUAGCCAUUUCUUCUACAUAACACAUAAGCUUUCUCAAAUUAGAUUAUAAACAUGCCCUGUUUUGGAAAUUAUUUUAUAAAAAUUAUCUCUUAUUUUAACAUAUUAAUAUCCUAAAAUUGACUUUUGUUGUUUUGCUUCAUGAAGCUUACUAAUGUCCGCAUUGAUUUUUUUUAUACCCCUUUUCAGGAAAAAGAUUACUGUUAUGAUAUCUAAAACACAAUAAAAUUCUGCAAUUUAAAAACUGUGGUAGGCAACUAGUUAGAACUGUGUGUACAUAAUUAGAACUCAAGGUAUUACUUGCUGAAAUGUUAUAGCUCAAAAUCUUGUAAGACCAAAGGAAAUCAGUAAAGUAUCACUUUAUUUCAAAAAAGUAUGUUGAAAGUAAGUUUAAUAUGCAGAAGUGACAGCAUUAGAACCUUAAAAUCAGUAACUGUCUUAAGAGUCACGAUGUCAGUUUUAGAAUCCCAUGUAACUAAUGUGUCUAUGAAUAUAUUUGAUUAUUUGCAUUACAAAUGCUGGUAUACAUCCUUCAAAUAAAUAUUUCUUUCUGAUAGAUGCAUUUUUUUUUUUUUCCGUGUCAGGGAUGAUGUAUUUUUUGUUGUUUUGGACAAAAAGGCAAGUUUAAGUUGGAAUUGAUAUUAAGCACAAAUAUACUCUUAAGUGUUAGUAUUUUUUAAUCAAAAUGUUUUGUAUACUUUUGUUUAAUCUUGUAAGUUUAAAGAAUGUUUACGAUGGGAAAACUUGUAGUCACUAUAUCGGACUUAUUUUGUAAUAGAUUAGAGUUUACUAUUUUGAAGGGUCUUUUUUGUCUUUCUAUCAUACCUACUUGAUUUAUCAUGUCUUAUUUAAAUCUUUCAUUUCUUAUUAUGUGACAUUUCCCUACGGUUCAAAAACAUGUUGUAUUAAAAUUUUAAUAUUUGGUAUGAAAUAAUUUUGUUUUCCGUGGUUUAACUUCUAUAAUAUUUACAUUCAAGAUGCCUUAAUUUUCAGAAUGUGCAGAGAUAGAAAAUUUUAUCUUUUGGGGAAGACUAUUUAAAAAUUAAGAUUUUUAAAAACCUUGUGUUUGGAGUGGUGUUGCAUGAUUGUAUGGUUUUCGUUACUAAUCAUUUACUUAGUGACAGACACAUUGUUGAUUUUCAUUCUUUUGUUUUCUGAGCAAUUCUUAAAAUGAAAAACUCAUCAACAUUAUGCUUCAUAUGUAGUACAGUUCAACUUUGCUAACGUAAAUAAGUUCUUAUUUUUGUGUAGCUGUAUGCCCUCAUUUGUAAAGAUUCAGAAAGGAGAAACAAACGAAAAAUUCACUUACACUUAUGUCUCACCUGUUUUGGGAAACAUUUUUUUAAACUUACAAUUGUCCAAGGGCAGUCAAUUUAUUAUUACUUGCAAUUAUUUUAAUUGGUUUAAGAAAAAAUGUCUAAGUUUUGAUAUGUUAGAACUGUAAUGUAUUAAAACUUUUAGAAAUGUCGAUUUAAGUCACUUCAGCUUAGCAAGUCAUUCAGGUUGAAAAUCAUGGUACUUUCUGCCAUUAACAACGUUUGAUAAUUUGGGAAGCAGGGCUGAUCAAUUUUGUCCUAUUGCCGUGAGUAGUUUUGAAAAUUAGGGGUUUUGUGAGUUUUAGAAACAUAGGCAGAAUGUUUUCUUUUGAAGUUCCUCUAUACCAGUCUUUUAAUAGCUACCUACCUACACAAGCACAGCAAACAUCUUCAACUAGUCCUCUAACAGCUACAUACACACACUCAUUCUACUCAGCCACACCGCUUUGUAAAUGAGUGCCCUGACAAGAAAUGAAAGCAGAAAUAUAUUAAUCUGAUUUGUCUGAAGAGGCUUCGGAUGAUAGAGCAUAUCACAGGUGUUUCUAAUCAAGUUAUUUCUGUUUUGAAACAGUAUUUUCUAGUUAAUGCUGCUUUGAACACUGGCAAGGUUGGGGUCGUUUUGAAGACCUUACCUCUGUGUUCCAGGAUCAACUGUGGAACUCCAGGAGGCAGAAAUCUGUUGAAUGUCUUCAUACUAUAAUACAUGACAUUUUUAUUGCAGGUUUUGACCUUUAGGAGAGAGCCAAUUAUGGAGAACAACCUAACUUCUUUGAUUGAAUACUCACAUAAAUCACUGGAACAUGAUAUGAGAGUAACGAAUUUUUUAAGGCUUAAUAAUGGUUAAAAUGAAGAGAAUAAUAAAACAAGUCUCUACUUAACUGAGAAAUUCCUACCUUUUGCCGGUGAUUACACCAGUCUGUGUCUUUACUGGUCAGUUUCACAGUUCCUGUUAUAUCCAAAAUAGGAAAAAAUUGUCCCAACAUUGUUAUCGAAUCUUAAUGGAUUCCUAAUUUUGAUGAGCAACAAAAUGGAAGAUCUCACAGUACCAAAUUUCAACUGAUAAAUCCAUGCUAAUUUAAACUAUGGUAGAGUCAUAAUGACAAACAUGAUGCAAAGGUCUAUAAAUGAAACACUGCAUGGGGCGGGCAUUGUGGUAUAGCAGUUGAAACUGCUGUCUACAUCACCAGCAUGCAAUAGGGUGCCAGUUUAGGACUCGGCUUAUGGCCUAGGGAAGCAGCAGAGUUUGACCCAAGUGUCAGGCUCCUGCUACUCAUGUGAGAGACCCCAAUGAAACUCUUUGUGAGAGGCUGGCAUGGUGGGGAGCCUAACAAUAUGACAGUUCCUUAAUGAAACUGAGAAGUUUGUAGCUAUUUCUGAAAUCUUAGCCAACAAUUUGGGUUACCUGUCGAAACUGUGCAGAAAUUGGGGCCGGUAAUGGGUGAAUCCAUAGAUUUCCUGGAGGACAUACAUUUAACAUUGGAGAAAAUGAACAAUUUACCAUGCAUGCCUCUAUGGCAUUGUGGUUUGUAUAAACAGUUGUUUGUUAGAAUGAAGGGACCAGUUUCAGUCAGUGCUUCUGUUAUUGUUCUAUUUGAAUAGAAGUGUCGUUUCUUAGUGUACUCUUAGUGAUGGGAAAAUGGGUAAGAAAAGAUGGUUGAGGCUUAGUGAUUUAACUCCUACCUACCAUUCUGGCUUCUCAUGUGAACUCUGGUUUGGGUCCUAUAUGUGCUUCAUUUUGAAUGGCAACUCACUGCAGAUGUACCUGAAAAGGUAAAAGACCUCCUUCUUCACUCUACCUUUUUCCCUCUCUCCGUGUCCCAUCCCUCUUUCCUUUUCUCUGUAACUCUGCCUUUCGAAAUAAUAAAAAUUAAUCUUGUUGGAAAAAAAAGUAGUGUCAUUUUCUGACAAUCUUGAAGUGAUUCCUGUAUCUGAAUAAACUUGAGAAAUGUUUUUUUUUUUUUUUUCU
Molecule: long non-coding RNA, 4953 nt
Organism: Ochotona curzoniae (black-lipped pika)
Lineage: Eukaryota; Metazoa; Chordata; Mammalia; Lagomorpha; Ochotonidae
Exons: 4
Source: RefSeq, a predicted model, not a curated record